Panthera uncia (snow leopard) is the source of this 1144-nucleotide long non-coding RNA. RefSeq lists it as uncharacterized. Lineage: Eukaryota; Metazoa; Chordata; Mammalia; Carnivora; Felidae. The transcript has 3 exons. The record is from RefSeq and is a predicted model, not a curated record.
UCCACCUCCCCGGGCCUGGACACCCACCCCCGCAUCUCCCCGAGUCUGGACCUCCACCCACCUCCCCACGUUUGGACCCCACCACCACCACCUCCCCAGCCCUGGACCGCCCCUCCACCUCCCCGGGCCUGGACCUCCCCUCCCUGAGCCUGGAUCCCCCCACCUUCACCCGGGCUUUGCUCAGGGUCUCUGCCCGGCCCCCCCGCCUCAGCCUAGUUGUGGGGGGCGGGGGUGGGGGGGUGGGGUUGGCGAGGACAGUUGUGGCGUUUCCAGGAGACUGGAGCAUGCGAGCAGCCGGAACCCUCGCAAUUUUGUUUCCAGAAAGGACGUCUUACCUGUGUGCUGGCAACAUUUCUGUAACACAGAAUCAGACCCAUGCAGCUCGGCUCCUUCCCACUGUUCCCAAGCCAGCGGGUUUACCGCCAGAGCCUCAGCAUCCUCUCCGGAGAAAUGGGAAUGAUCACUACAGCCCAACAAGGAGGGAGCCCACCCCGUUUAGUGUUUUAGCCAUAAGGGUGUUUAUCCAUUACACCGAAAGUGCUCACCGGGCACAGAAUCGGCUAGAAACCCGCAAGCCUGCCCCUUCCUGGUCACCACUGGACAAGUGCGCCCACCUUGGGAUUUCCUGGUCUCCUUUGCUGUUUCCUCACUACUUUCCUCAUCCUCUUGGUUUCAUUCAAUCCGGACAGUCUCGCCUUGCUUUCCCUCUCUACGGGCCUCUCUUUAUUUUAAUUUCCGUUGUUACACCUUGACCGAAGUUAUUUCAACACUGUCAGAUUGCAGACGUUUUAAGAUUGCUCAAUAUGCUCAAUAAAAGACACUUCCUGGGCCCUUUGCUGCCAGUGCGAAAGUACCUCCUGAAGGCAGAGUUACCUUGUCCAACUGGUUAUGGAUAUGUUGUUAUCAGCCUGGAAUGUGCACGAGAUGAUAGGAGCUUGAGCGGCUGUCCUGGACCAGGAAGCAAUCUGGAACACCAGAAGCCGACUAGGAGGGUGUAGUGGAAAGGCGACUAAGCCUGGGUCCUUACACACUGCAGAGUGUCUACAGCAGACUUCAUGGUCCGCUAAAGCCACUGUCUUAUUGAAGCCACUUACUUGGACUGUCUGCAUAUGCAACUAAAACCAACCCUAAGUAAUAAUAUACA